UCUCCUCGGGUUUGGCCACUGCUCUUGUUCCUUAAUUGGUAGGCGGCCCAAAGAUUCGAUUUUUCCGCUCCUUGUGCGGUUCUGUGGAUUAGUGCCUUGCUUCAUGGUCCCUCGAUUGCUAAUUGAACGACGGCCGGCGGCUAGCUGAUGUGGUGGCCGGUCUCUGGCUCGCGAGCGUCGUGGUGCUCGAAAACUCAAAUCCCUCGAGUGGUGCAAACUCCGCAUCAUGGACGACAGGUCGAGUGCCCGCGGCAGCCAGCCGUCAUACAACCCAUGCGGAAGAAGACGGUUGUGUUUCCGUGGUUGGUGAAGGGGCUGGUGUCAUCGUGCCUGUCAGCGUAGUUGUUGUUCUGAGAAUUUCCAUGAUAAGCAAGCAGUGAAUCUGUCUUGGCUGCAGAUAAAAACUGUUGCAGCGGUAUAUGGAUUCAGAAGUGACGAGUGCCCAUGAUUAUGUUGCCGUACAUGCCUUUGGAAAACCAUGGCCAGUGUUGUUUCCACCGGACCGGGUCCUCUCUCCGCUGUUCUGAUCUAAUGUCGACUGCGUGCCGUUGGCUUCCCAUGCACAAGGUCCUACCGGCGGCAUUGGGCACCACGUGGGAAGCGGAAGGAGGAGCCGCAACUCUCCAUGCAAGCUCGGGUCAAUGUCAUCGCAAGUUCCGUGCUCGACGUUGCUGUUCAAUGUCGCCUCAGCUGAUUUCGCCCGCCGUCCGCCCGAUGCUCCACACUUUGCCGUAACUCAAUCUGCCAGUUCUCCGCUUGAGGUACGUACUGAAGCUAACCUGGCAAGAGGCAGGCAUGGGAGGCAUGAUUGUUGCUGAAGCGGAACUCAUGAAUGUCUCACGUCAUGUGGUUCUGUGCUAUUCUUAAUCUUCUUCUCUGAAGUGUGUAGUUUCAGUUCCACAUCAAAUGUGUUGCGCUUGCAGUGCGUACCAAUGUACAGUUUACCGAUGUGUAUAUAUGCGGAGUCGAUGGAAAACAUUGAAGCCAGUAGUUGUAUACCUAUUUCAAAAAUCAGCAAGUGGUUAGUAACAUUCUACAUCAAGGUUAUCAUAUGACAGAACGUCUGGGGUGAAAGCUAAGCUACUUCCAAUGGUAAGAAUUGAAAUCUGGAUGAAACCUCCAUUAUUUGUUUUAUAUAUUUUUAGAUACAUGAGAGAACUAAUGAUAUUUUUAGACUGUAGAACAACCCUUUCAAGGAUUCUCUCUCUAUGAGCAUAUAUAUUGCCUCAGCUUAUAUCCAUUGCCGCACGCAUGGGCGUGUCAGUAGCAUUACUUUGAUAACAUGUCUAUAUCACUGUAAUGUUGGACAUAAGUUCUGCUACAUCCAAACAAGCUUAUCUGAUUUCCAAGAAGAGUAAAAAAAUUCUUUAGUGAUUUCCUGGAUUUUGCUUAUAUCACUGUAAUGUUGGACAAUAAGUUCUUAAUACAUUUGGAGCAUCUACUCUCUGGUAAGGAGUCAUGGGGAAGACUAUAUUUUUAGUUGACAUUGUAAAUGAUUUUAAUGGCCACGAUUUUUUUUCUUGUUUCUUUUCAGGUCCCAAAUGAGAAGGCAAGAAGGUAUCAGCUGUAUGAGAAGACCCCCGCCCAUGCCCAUUCCAUUCUCUAUGAAGUCAAAAGUUUCCCACUGAAUAUAUUUGGUACUAAAACGGUCGUUAUGUCAGCACCACGAUCGUGUGCCAAUUGUUGGCUCUUAAUUCUUUAGGAUUAUUUGAUUUGUUUGAUUCAUUCUGUUCAUAUUUAUGCAGCAACAAAAUACAUUCAAGAUCAGGGUGUGUGAGGGUUAAACAUGUUAAUUUAUGUGGCAUCAAGCUAUGUAUGUUGAUAGCAUGAUCUCCUUUUCUUUUGCUUUGCAGAAUUAUUCUCGACACUGGAGAUAUAUGCUAAUCCUCUAGCUUUGCUAAUUUUAUCUUUUGAUUUCAUUUCAGUGGUGGAGUAUUGCACCUCAUUCACAGUUGUAGAUGUGUGUCAAGAUAUCAAAUCAUCUGUCUUUUAGGUCAACGGCAUGCCCAUGGUGGUUCACCCCUAGAUUUAAAUGACUCUAAAGUCCAUGGUCCACCUAAUAAAGAUAGAAAUAAUUAUGUUGGUAAGGUGGGUUAAACCCAACUUAAGCUCACACUGUUUUUAUGUUCUCUUACACCUGCAGGUAUUAUUAAACAAUAUCCUAACUGAAUAUCAAACACAUUGCUGGCUACAUGAUAUGUAAAGUAAAAUGUAUGUUGCUACUAAAAUUUAUAUCCGAAUGAUGGUGGCCAUUAUCUAUUUUUAAGCAAACAUAUCUCCCAAGUUUGACAAAGGUUUCCUUCA
This is an RNA transcript of Triticum aestivum (bread wheat), 2304 nucleotides long. RefSeq lists it as uncharacterized. NCBI's taxonomy places the organism in Eukaryota, Viridiplantae, Streptophyta, Magnoliopsida, Poales, Poaceae. The record is from RefSeq and is a predicted model, not a curated record. The transcript has 2 exons.